GACGAACGCUGGCGGCGUGCUUAACACAUGCAAGUCGAACGGAAAGGCCCUGCUUUUGUGGGGUGCUCGAGUGGCGAACGGGUGAGUAACACGUGAGUAACCUGCCCUUGACUUUGGGAUAACUUCAGGAAACUGGGGCUAAUACCGGAUAGGAGCUCCUGCUGCAUGGUGGGGGUUGGAAAGUUUCGGCGGUUGGGGAUGGACUCGCGGCUUAUCAGCUUGUUGGUGGGGUAGUGGCUUACAAAGGCUUUGACGGGUAGCCGGCCUGAGAGGGUGACCGGCCACAUUGGUACUGAGGGACGGCCCAGACGCCUACGGGAGGCAGCAGGGGGGAAUAUUACACAAUGGGCGGAAGUCUGAUGCAGCAACGCCGCGUGCGGGAUGACGGCCUUCGGGUUGUAAACCGCUUUCGCCUGUGACGAAGCGUGAGUGACGGUAAUUGGUAAAGAAGCACCGGCUAACUACGUG
Molecule: ribosomal RNA, 468 nt
Filed under: uncultured bacterium
Lineage: Bacteria
Description: partial 16S ribosomal RNA
Rfam family: Bacterial small subunit ribosomal RNA
Source: RNAcentral